GCAGCAGUGGGGAAUUUUGGCCAAUGGGGGCAACCCUGAUCCAGCAAUGCCGCGUGAGUGAAGAAGGCCUUCGGGUUGUAAAGCUCUUUUGUCAGGGAAGAAACACCGGCUCUAACACAGUCCGGGAAUGACGGUACCUGAAGAAUAAGCACCGGCUAACUACGUGCCAGCAGCCGCGGUAAUACGUAGGGUGCAAGCGUUAAUCGGAAUUACUGGGCGUAAAGCGUGCGCAGGCGGUUAUACAAGACAGGCGUGAAAUCCCCGGGCUUAACCUGGGAAUGGCGCCUGUGACUGUAUAGCUAGAGUGUGUCAGAGGGGGGUAGAAUUCCACGUGUAGCAGUGAAAUGCGUAGAUAUGUGGAGGAAUACCAAUGGCGAAGGCAGCCCCCUGGGAUAACACUGACGCUCAUGCACKAAAGCGUGGGGAGCAAACAGGAUUAGAUACCCCUGGUAGA
Molecule: ribosomal RNA, 454 nt
Filed under: uncultured bacterium
Lineage: Bacteria
Description: bacterial SSU rRNA
Rfam family: Bacterial small subunit ribosomal RNA
Source: RNAcentral